This 252-nucleotide ribosomal RNA is filed under the name Muribaculum intestinale. RNAcentral's name for it is "partial 16S ribosomal RNA". It matches the Rfam family "Bacterial small subunit ribosomal RNA", at positions 524 to 776 of the family's 1533-position model. Lineage: Bacteria; Pseudomonadati; Bacteroidota; Bacteroidia; Bacteroidales; Muribaculaceae. The record is from RNAcentral. RNAcentral also lists the same sequence under 1 other name.
UACGGAGGAUGCGAGCGUUAUCCGGAUUUAUUGGGUUUAAAGGGUGCGUAGGCGGGACCUUAAGUCAGCGGUAAAAUUGCGGUGCUCAACGCCGUAGAGCCGUUGAAACUGGGGUUCUUGAGUGAGCGAGAAGUAUGCGGAAUGCGUGGUGUAGCGGUGAAAUGCAUAGAUAUCACGCAGAACCCCGAUUGCGAAGGCAGCAUACCGGCGCUCAACUGACGCUGAGGCACGAAAGUGCGGGUAUCGAACAGG